AUCACACCCCUCCCAUCCAUUUGAAAAUAAGGUAUCACAUCAAGCCGGAAAAUUUAUAAAUACAAAACAAAUGGUCCUCCACCUCCAAAAUCUCUGGACACCACACACAAUCUACGACCCUACCAUCACAAAUACUCACCCUCUUUGCUAUAGAUUCCCUCGAGUUGGUAAGGGUUUGCACCUUAGAUGGUGCUAUACUUCUCCAAUUAGAUCUUUUUUUUUUUUUUUUUUAUGAAUUCUCCAAUUAGCUCUUAAUGCUCUUCAUGUUGCCGUAGACAAAUUCUUAUCCGGUAAGAAUUUCUUAUUAAGGACCACAAAGAUUGAAUCGAUAAAAUAUCGAAAUGAUCAAGAACUCAAAUUGCUAAUGAUAAUCGAGAACCCACAUAUAAAGAGUAUUUUUACUCUUGAUAAAGAUAUUUUUUUUUUUAUCAAGGACAAAAAAAUGUUUAUUCACAUAUAUUCAAUUAUAAUCUACCACGUAAAUAAUUGUGAAAAUAUGUUUUUUUUUUGAAGGAAUGAAAAUAUUUUUUUUGAAAGAUGAAGGAAUGAAAAUAUGUUAUCAAUUAAAUCGCUAAUGUGGUAUUUUUGUGAACCAUGGGGAAAAAAAUUUCAUCCCUGACGUUGACGGCACCUUGUCGUCAAGCUGAAUUGUUCAAAUGCACCGUCUAUCGUCUUCUUAGGAAAGGGAUACCCUAACGUACUAUCAUCAGGUGUCCUAAUAAUAGGGAGCUAUCACUAGUUUUCCCAGUUUUUGCAUAACAUUAAAAUGUCAUUUCUUUAGAUAUAUUCUCACAUGGAAGACCAGUUUAUUCAUAACUCACUCGAUACUCAACUCUACAAAGAGUCUACAUUUAAUCACCAUAUACGCCCUUUAAGUUAUGGUUGAAACUUGAAAAGACAAAAAAUGAAUAAAUUAAGCUUAUAUGAGUUACCUCGUUGCUUAUAAAUUAAUAUGACUAAAGUAGAAUUAUUUGAUAACAAUUUUUUUUUACGAGCUUAUAAUAAUUUUCACUAACUUUACUAAAAAAAAAAAUCACUAGCUUGUAGUAUUUUUUUUUAUAAGCUAUUUCAAAUAGUUAUAUAGUUUGACCAACUCCAUUGAUCAAGGUGAGACCUCAAUAUCCUCUUGAGUCUUGACAGAAGUACAGACCUUCAACUUAUCAUAAACCUUGUGUUUUUUUUUAAUGCCUUUGUAAUUUGUAUUUUAAGCCUUUAAAUAUGUUAGGCCAACCCGUUAAUUUAUCAUUGAUUAAUUUAUCCGCUAUAUAAUAACUAUAAGUUCUUCCUUCAAAAAAAAUAUCUAUAAGUUCUUGUCAAAAAAAAAAACUAUAAGUUCAUCUAUUUAUCAACUAGUUUGCCAACUAUCCACAUAUUUCUUAAGCAAACACAACCUCCUUGGUCUACAUUUUCUUCCAAGGUCGAUUUAUUGACAUGUCCCUUCAAACUAGUAAAUUUGUAACCUUUCUGAGAUCAGUAAUUUCCUUUCUUAAUUAUAUAGUGUAUAUUUAAAUAUAGUCAAUGUAGGAUCUACCAACAUGUAAGAGCCAACCAUCUAGCUUGAGACAAACGACAAUGGAUGGAAUACAUUGGACAAUAAAAUAAAUGAAAUUAUGCUUUAGUUGAACCUAAAUUAUUGAAAUCACAUUAUUGCAACCUAUGACACCAUCCACUAGAGAAUUGUAGCAAGAUGGGUUGGACAACUCAACUAGUUUGAGCUAGAGAUAAAGAGGUGAAGAUCUUGAAUUUAAACCUGAAUAAAGGAGAAAAAAUAAUUACUAACAUUUCUCAUUAAAACAAACAAGACCGGUCUAAUUAUUUGAUGCUUAAAGUGUUUUAAGAUGAAACUUUUUUUUAAAGGGAAUAACAAUAUUUAAUAAUCUGUUCAAAAAACUAGUUAGACUAUUAUUUUUUGGGAACUUCUAUGGUACACUCACAAUUUUGAGUGUACCGGUACUCUUGUUUUACAAAAUUUAUAAAUUAACAAUCACUUUAAUGAAAUAAAAAGGUAUUUGUCAAUAUUUAUAUUUUAGAAAACAUCAUUUCAUAAGAAAAACCAUUAUUUCAUUGUUUAUAAGGAUCAUAUUAAAAAAUUGACAUUUUGUCAUAAAAAAUAAUCAAUAUUCAUUGUUAUGAGUAAUAAAAAUUCUUAAAAAUUAAAUUUUAUUUUGUCGAAGCUUUUGGUAAAUAAAAUUUAAUUAUCGUAGUUGUCAAAUGAUAGAAAAUAAUUAUUUUUUUUUCAAAAAAACAAUUCAUUUAUUACUAAUAUUACGACUUGGUGUACCGAUACACCCAAAUUUAGUGGGUGUACCAUAGAAUUUGCCUAUUUUUUGUUUUAACUUCAUGUAUUUCAGACUUUUUAUGAUGUAGAAUAUCAUUUAUUUCCUUUUUUUUGGUACAAAAGAGGGCUAAAGGCCCAAAAAAAAACUAAGAAGUUAGCCGAACAUUCUUAGGCAUAGAAGCGUCAGAGAUGUCAUAAAAAAGAAGUCUACGGAGUUCACUGGACGGAUUCUCCGUUAUGAUACAAUUAAAAGAGUCUAGAGAAAGGUUAAAGUUAGCCAACCAAUCAGCACAUCGAUUACCCUCCCUCCAAGUAUGGCGAAAUUGGACUCGCCAAUCCAAAGCCAAGAGUUUUCGAUUGCGUUGCACCAAUAUGGAACCUGAGCCACUAAACUUGCAGUUUUCCGUAACCAUGUCAUUCAAGAUUUUAGAAUCACUUUCAACAAUGAGUUGCGGAAUGUGCUUUCGUCAAGCCAUCUCCAAACCAAGAUACAUGCCCCCACAUUAUCACAAACUCCAAUCUUUUAAAUGUAGCCUUUUAGCCAUCUCCCUUCAGAGUCGCGAAAGAGGUCACCACAACUUGAAUAUUCUCCAUUUCCUUUGCAAGCACCGUCACUAUUGAGUUUAAUCCAACCUUCACGGAGUUUCUUCCAACCUAUGUAGAUUGUCUCUUUCAUUUAAAAAUUGUGAUGAAUCCGAUGAUUUGAAAACAAGUCUAUCCAAAACAUUUAUUACUUUAUUGUGAUCAAUAUUGUCUAACAUUUAUUUCAAUUUCAAACAAUAAUAAAUCAAUUCAUUUAGUUUUUUUGGGACAAUGUUUAUCUUAAAUAAAAUUUAUAAUGUAGUUUUUUUUCUUGGGUUGGUUUUUUUUUUGUUCCCAGGGAUUUUUGUUAUUAUUCUUUUAUUUUAUCAGAUUUUAGCUUUUAGGAAAAAUGUUGUGACAAUAGAAUAGAGAAAAUCAUGGACUCAUGACCUCACCACAUGAUACUUUUCCAUCAAAUAGUUUUUUAGUUUACUUUUUUUAAGGCUUUACUUUUGGGUCGUCCCUAAAUGCUAGUCACACCUAUAGAUUCAAAAAUUAAUUCCGAAUGGUUUUUCACCAAUAGAAAUUUAAUUGAUAGAGUCACAUUUUGCUAGAUCCUAUCCUAUCCUAUCCUAUGGUAAUUAAUUUUGAAUGUGAUGAUUGCUGCCGCUAAUUUUUCUCCCUAACCAUGUUUCGGAGAAAACCAAUUUUAGCCCUUGCGUUUGAGAAUAGAAAACCUUACUUUUUCUGUAAGGAGAAUAUUAACCAGCACCAAAAGAAGUAAGUUUUUAUUAAAAAGUAAUGUAAUUAUUACUUAAUAAAAAGUGAAGUUUAUAUUUCUAAGACAAAAUUCUAUUUAUAGAUUUUUUAACCAAUGCCCCCAGGGCAUUGGUUAACAAGACCCUUUUUAUAAUAAGAGUCUAGACCAGAGGGGUACAAGGAGACCCAAACAAAAGUAAUCCCUCCGUUCCAUAUUAAGUAUGACACAGUUGACUCUGUCGCACAUACCAAUAUAUAUUUUUUAUCUUUAAUAUAUUUUAUUAGAAAAAAUUAUAAAAAUUUAAUAUUUUAAAAUACUCAUCAAAAUAAAUCCAACAACAUCUUAUAUGAUAUUAUUUAUCUUUGUAUAUUAGUUAAAAAAAUAUGGUCAAAAUUUAUUAGGUCAAUAAUGCACGAACCGAAGGAGUAUUGUCUAUGCAUGAUAGAGAUUCUAAGUAUCUUUUAGUGGUACUCUUUGGGGACCGCGGGUUUCCAUUAAAGGAAUGAAAAAUACUAUUAGUGAAGUUGUCCAUAUAAUCAAAUGUGGAUGGUAGAUUUUCACAUCUAAUAAAGUUAUUUUGCUACUUUUUUCAUACCAAUCAAACACAUUAUACAACAGUAGGGUAUUGCUGUUCGAUUAAAAACACACCUAGAAAAGUAGGUUGCAUUUUAUUCCACUUGCAUGAACCCAUAUUUCCAUUGUCUGUUGGUCCCGUAAUGAAAAAGAUGGAUAGAUAGAUCAUAGAGUCAGCACAAACCUGUAAUAAUUUUGAGAAUGUAAUUUAUGUGACUUAUGGAAUUUAUAACUAUAUGAACGUUUAUUGAAAGAAAUUCUAUAAUUUACCAAGUUCUCUUUAUUUGUGGAUUGGUCUUGAUGGACAAAUAUAGAAACCCUCAGUCUUUUCACCAUGUGCUCUUGUGAAUGAUACCUCAUGACCAUUUUCUUCCUUUAGGAAAUAUUUUUGUCACGAGAAUAGAUUUAGCAUGUGUAGUGAUUGAUAACUAGCGGUUGAGAUUCCACAUUGCAGUUUUUUCACCAUGAUUGAAUUCACAUGGUACAUACGUGUAAACUUGUGAGUGAGUAAACCCAUAUAGGACAUAUGCGACUACUAUUUUUUCUUGUAUGGCAUGAAAAGUGUGUAUGGUACAUGUACAUGUGUUAAUUUCUGAGUGAGUAUAAGCUCAUAGAGGACAUAUGCUACUUCUGUUUUUUUGUGUAUGACAUGAAAAGAGAGCAAGAAUGACAAGUGAUUCGCCUACUGGCCACUUAAAACUCUUGCACAGUGAAUGCUGUUUUUUUUUGUGUUGGAUCAGUGAGUGAUUGAGAAAUGGUUUGCUUUGCUAGGUUAGUAAGAGAACGAGUUGAGAUAUAUUGGCAUGCAAAUGCGAAAAUUGUUAACUAAAAGCUAGGCUUAAUCAUUAUCAUCAGUAAGAGGAAUGACUAACUUUGGACAGGAUAUAAAGGCAACGAUAGAUUAAGCAUUAUCCUCAACAUAACGAAUAUAUCCCACAACCCGACCACUGACGAACCAAAGUUUGAAUCCGACUCGAUAAAAGUGUUCAGAUUUAUUUUUCGAUUGUCAUAUGGUCAAUGUAUUGUGGUCUGAUGUUCUAUCUUAGUUAGGAAUCAGUUGUAGGAUGAUGAAUUAUACAUAGUUAUUGUCAUGAUGAACAAUUUACAAGUUUUGUUUAUCAUGGAAAGAAAAUAAAGGAACGACUUCGUUUGAAUUGGUUGGUAUGCAUCUGGUCAAUUUAAAAGCAUUGUAACCAUGUGAUUUUUGGUAAUAAAGUUUGGUUAUUGGGUUCACCUUUUGAUAUGGUUAAACUUUUGUUGUUGUCUUGGAUCAAAUUUAAAGAUAAGGGGUUUUCUUAUGAUUAUUAUAUAUCAAUGAAGCACUCAACAACAGAAAUGUUAGGGGUGACUUUUUUUUUCAAUUAAUUUCAUUUUAUUUUUGGUAUGCUCGCACCAUUCUUUUGGUGUAUUUUAGUAAUUGUUGACUGCUGCUAUUUUAUUUAUUUAUUUUAGCACUCCUUGUGCUUUGAUUAAGUUGUGUUAAUAAAUCAAUUUUUUUGGCCUUAAAAAAAAGUGUUCACAUUUAAUGCUGGUAUCUCAAACAAGACUGCAUUUGAUAAAAACUUAGGUUAAAAAGUACUGUUUUCUUGUUGUCAAAGGGUGUGUUUGGUAAAAAAAAAGCUAUAAGCUAGCUGAUAGCUGAAAAGUUAGCUUAUAGCUGAUGGCUGAUGGCUGAUAGCUGAUAGCUGAAAAGUUAGCUGAUUAAAAUUAAAAGUGUUUGGUAAAAUUAGUUGUUGAAGUGACUAUAAAUAUAAAAUGACAUAAAAGGACAUGCUUGUUUAAUUUUUUUUUUUUUUAAUAUCAUAUAUAUAAUUUUUAUUACUUAACGCAUUUAUUUUUAAAUAUUUAAAUAUAUUUCAAAUUAUUUUCAUCUCCAAAAUAAUAAAUGUAUUUAUGAAUUCAAUCGAAUUUUUUUAUUUAACAAUUUUUAUUUUAUUUUUAUGAUUUUUAUUUAAUUGCUUCACUAUUUAUUAUAAAUUUUAUAUAAAAUUAUAUAUUAUAUGAAUUAUGAGCAAAGUAAAAAAAAAACAAAAAAGUGGACAAGAAAAUUUAAAAAGCCAUACAUGGUAAACGUGGUUAGUUUAAGAAGAUAGUGGGUAGUUUUUUUUUAUUAUAAUAAAAUAAAAUAUAAUUAAGAAAAGGUUAAAAUGAGAAGAAAGUAUAAAAAGCUACAAGCUAUAAGCUAAAAAGCUAUGUGGAUUAGCUUCUUAAAAACGCUAUAAAAGGGUAAAAAGUACUGUUUAGUUGAUUCUCGUCUAAGAAUGUCAAUUUAUACUCGUAAGUAGUGCAUGUUUGGGGCUCCAAAGGUUAGGAAUUUUCUUUGGGAUCGGAACGGAAGUUUCAGGACGAGGAUGAGAUCUUACCCUCCGCCGCGCAGGGAUCUCGUGUCCCCAAACAUUUUAUUAAAAUAUCUUGGCUUAAAUAUGCAAACCAUCCCUGUAAUUUGGGCACAUUUUGAUUUUCGUCCCUGUGAAAAAAAAAAUUUAAAAACAUCCCUGUAAAAAAAAUUUAUUUUAAAAAGGUCCCUGGCCCCACUUUUUUGCUGACAUGGGAUGGCUUUGGCCACGUGGCAGUUGCUGACUGUGCAACUUUUGCCACGUGGUAGUCCACGUCAUUAUUUUUUAUAGAAAAAAUCUGAAAAUAUUUUUUUAAAAUUAAAAAAAUUCCAAUUUUUUUUUUUUGAAAUAUGAAGAAUUUUUUUUGGAAAUUAGUGUUUUUAAAAUCUAGAAAUAAAUUUUUGAAACUUAUAUAAUCUCAAAAUUUAUAACUUUUGAAAAUAUAAUUUUCAGUUUUUUUUUAUUUUUAAACUUAAAAAAAUUCAGAAUUUUUAAUUUUUUUUAAUUAAAUAUCGAAAAAUUUAAUUUUCAGAUUUUUUUUAUGAUUUUUGAAAGAAAAAAAUUAAUUAAAAAUCGAAAAAUUUAAUUUUCAGUUUUUUAAUUUUUUUUUUUAUGAUUUUUAUAUUUAUUUUUGGAUUUUUUAUUUUAAAAAAUGAAUUUUUAGAAUUUUGAAAAAAAAUAAAAAAAAAAUUAAUUAUGUGCCAUGCCACGUCAGCGCCACGUGGCAAAAGUUGCACAGUCAGCAACUGCCACGUGGCCAAAACCAUGCCACUUCACCUGAAUAGUGGGACCAGGGACCUUUUUAAAACAAAAUUUUUUUUACAGGGAUGUUUCUAAAUUUUUUUUUUUUACAGGGACGAAAAUCAAAAUGCGCCCAAAUUACAGGGACAGUUUGCAUAUUUAAGCCAAAUAUCUUCUGUUUUGUACUUUCACACAUAUGUUUAUUAAAUUUUGUUGAUAUGUGAAGUUUAUUGUUGUCACAAGAUUCCCAAUAAUAUCUUAUUUUUUAUUUGUUUUAUAAUUAUACUUUAAUUUUCUUUUGUCAAUUUUUGCUAGAAAAUAAUAAAAACUUGAUACUUCUUUAAUGUUGAUGUGAUCCUCUCGGAGACUAGGGAUCCAUGGUGACGGGGAUGAGGAGUGAAUACUCUAAGACAGAGAAUGAGAGUAAUUUUUUAUCUGAUUAUGAUGUGUCCUAUUGACAUCUCUAUUCUCGCAUACUAGACCAUUUGAUAAAAAAAAAUAUAUAACCUAAGAGUAAAAAACAAGUACCGAACGUAUAGCAUAAAAGACAGUUAUUUAAAUAAUUAAUUUAUUGAAUUUGUUUUAGAAAGAAAAGAAAAAAAAAGAGAGCAUGGAGUUGGUCUAUGAGAAUAACAGGGGUGGUAAUAGAAACUUCUCCAUGUAAACUUUAUUCAUAUCUAGUCGGAUUUUGAAGGGACCAGAUAUCCAUCAUUGUAAGUUUACGCAUGCGAGUUGCUCUUUAGCAUCCUCUAAAUGCUAAAAAGUACAACUACUAUCAUUGACGUAUUGCAGUUAAGUGUUGUUCGUCGUUUGAUUACAAAAAAGUAUUAUUCGUCAUAAAAUGGUAGUUAAGUGUCGUUUGUCACUUUUUCAAUCGAUCAAUCAAAUCACUUUUUAAAUCGACUUAAUCAAUUUAAAAAGUCAUUAGAACGGUAAUUAACUGCUUUGAUUAAAAAAAGUAUUAUUCGUCACAAAAUGGUAGUUAAAUGUUGUUUGUCAUUUUUAGAUCGAUCAAUCAAAUCACUUUUUAAAUCAACUUAAUCCAUUUAAAAAGUCAUAAGAACAGUAAUUAAUUGCUAUUAGUCGAAUGCUGCGUUCUUUAAAGAAAGUAACCGGGUUGGUAUAAUGAUAUGCAUAAGAAAUGAUUACGGAAGGUUAGUGAAAGCCAUAACUAGUUGGUCAAUGCCGCUCUUAGAUUUUUCCGAGGGAGAGGCUCUUGGUCUUUUAUAUGCUAUCAGAUGGGUAAAGGAGCAGACUUUUAAUAAUGUCAUUUUCGAGCUCGAUUCCAAGAGGAUAGUAGAUAGUUUCCAUAGCACUAGAAAUGAUGUAUCUGAUUUAGGAGCUAUUAUCAGAGAAUGUAGGAAUACUUUCUCAUCAUUUUUCACAAACUCAAGGUAGAGUUUAUUAGGAAACAAGCUAACGAGGUUGCUCAUAGACUUGCUAGGGCGGCCGGAUUUUAUGCUAGUAUUCACCGGUUCAUUGUAUUACCUGAUUAUAUUUAAGAUGUUUUUAUUAAUUAAAUGGGAUAGUUAUUUUCUGUAAAAAAAAAAAAAAUUACUAUUAGGAUAAUUCUGUCAGUUCAAGAUACCUGAGUACAAGUCAUGGAUGUCUAAAGAGCAAUUUUUUUCAUUAAUUGGUCCAAGAAAAAUGAGCCAAAGUACACAAAAUAUAGAAAUUGCUCUACAACUCUCCCAAGUUGCUCAACCAAUACAAAAAUAUUUUUCCAAUAUUUUUUUUGCCUAUAAUUAUUAUUUUUUUGAAUAAUUUGCCUAUAAAAUUAUAUAGUAUAAAUUAUUAAUAUUAUUGAUAAAGUAAUAUAAUAUUAAAAAAAUAUACUAAAAUUUAAAAAUAAAAAAAAAACGAACAACGCAAGAGACAAACGAACUCUGGCGGCAAAAGGUAAGCUUCCACUAUCAAGCUUCAACCGAAUCAGCCGGCCUCACCUUAAAAAUUAGAAAAUUUCGUCUUCUUCUGAUGAAAGCGAAAUGAAUCCCUUCCACUUCUUCUUCAAUGGCAUUAUUCCCAAUUUCAUAUUCCAUAAUCUACCAUGGCGCCACCAUCUCUCGCCAUUUCUCUCAUCUUCUCACUCCUCAUCACUUCCUUCUUCAAACCAUCACUCUCUUCCACUCUCGGCGUCGACGCCAUCUCCCGCACUCUUCAAAUCCAGCACCGAGAACGAUCACCGCCGUCCGUUCAAGAAGCCGCCGCUCGCUCUGUCCUCCUCCGCUUGCUCCCUUCCCAUUCCGAUUCUUUCCACUUCCGCAUCAUCUCCAAGGCAUUUCAAUUUUCUCUUUCUAUUUCUCUGACCUACUUCUUGUAGUUUUCAAUUUUUUCACUCAUUUUUGUUACUAAUUUACAGAAGCAAUGUGGAGGUGAAUAUUGUUUCACUAUUAAUAAUCAUCCUUCUUUCACAACACAAGGGAGUCCUCAAAUUCUGUACGUUACUUUUGAAUUUCUUGAAAAACUGUGAUUGUGUUUAUUUUAGCAAUAAAUUGAUUUAUAAUCUCGAGUUAAAUAUUUACUAAAAAGAAAGUAGUUGAUAAUGUAAAAGUUUUGUGAGGCUUUUUCAGCUUAUAACUUAUACGAAAACAAUUUAACUUUAUUUAUCCUUUGCUAUAGUAAUAGGUUGUACAUAAGUGCUUAUCAUAAUAAGCGCUUGUCUAUAAGCUGCAAAUAAGCUAUUUAUCCAAACAUGACUAGUUUACUAAAGUUUUUUUUGAACUGAACGAUUCGUGUAUUAACAUGUGAUCAAUCAAAUUAUCAGAAUGUCAAAAUAAUUUAGUAUGUCUGAGAUAUCUUUUUGAAUUAUUAGUAUUUUUUUUGGAAUAAGUAAAAUUUAUGUUGAAUUUUUCAUUGAUAUAAGAAGAUACAGUUUUUAGACUAUAGAGAGCAACAACCUAUAGGCUAAACAAACUUAUGAAUUUGGAACAGAAUUGAAGGGACAACAGGAGUGGACAUUGUUUCUGGUUUGCACUGGUAUUUGAAGCAUUGGUGUGGUUCACAUAUAUCUUGGGACAAAACCGGUGGCUCCCAACUAUUUUCAGUACCCAAUGUGGGGUUGUUGCCACGUGUUCACGACGCUGGAAUCUCGGUUAGGAGGCCUGUUCCAUGGAGCUAUUACCAGAAUGCUGUCACUUCUAGCUGUAAGCUACUUCUUUUUUGUUUUCAUAUAAUAUUUCUUUGGUGCUGUGUUUGGAAUUGGCAUCUGAAGAUUUCAUUUCAUUUUCAUGUGAUCUUGUUAUUUGGUUUUGGAAGAUUCUUUUGCUUGGUGGGACUGGAAAAGAUGGGAAAAGGAAAUCGACUGGAUGGCUUUGCAGGGUGUCAAUUUGCCACUUGCAUUUACGGGACAGGAGGCUAUCUGGCAGAAAGUGUUCAAGGUCAUUUUCAUACCAGUUUGUCUUUACAUAAUUCUUGGUAUGGGUUUCGCAUUGUGGUAUUUGUCACUCAUGGAAACUUUCUGAUAAUGGUUUUUGAGCCCACAAAUUAUGCAUCAUUAAACUAACUUUGGACAUUAAUGAAGCUGUUACUUUUAUUUCUAAUUUACAGAAAGCAGGAGUCUCAAAUAAAUUUUAUCUCACAUGGCAUUUGAUGCAUGAUUAAAAUAGAGGGAGAGGGGAACAUUUUUUGUUAUAUUUCAAUCUCGUCAGUCCCGUUAUUUUAGAUGUAACUUAAAUCAUAACUUAAAAUGUAGCACUUUACGUGGAAGCUCAAUAAUGAUUUACAUUUCCAGGACUCAAAAAAGUUUUCCAAGAGCCACUUCAUAUAGCCGGUGCUUUCCAUCUAUUUAAGUAACAUUUGAUUAGAUAUUUAGAUUUUAGAGGUAUGCUUUUCAGAUGUCAACCAAUUUUAUGCUACUAGCUUUUAGUGUUUUAAGAUACUGUCAUCACGACAUAACUACCACAAAAUACCAAAGCCGUGCUCUGUGUUUGAUCCAAUUUGCAUAUAGUUUGAUCCAAGUUUUACUACAAUCCAAUCUCCCAAGGAAACAUAUAAUGCUAUCUGGUAGUCUUGCAAGAUAUAGUAAAUGUGUAGGCACGGUUAGAUUGGUACCUUAGUUCUCUGGUACACUUUUUUUGCUGUGUAAUUCUUACCAUUUUCUGUUUCGAUGUUUUGGUUUUAUUGGCCUCUUGACGAUGGUAAGGAAAUAAAAAUGUACAACUUGAUUUAGGCCCUUAAUUGUGUCACUGGCUAGUUUGCUCAAAUCAUCGGACCAGCAGUUCUGUAAUCUCAGAUAUCGUGCAACAGAAUUCUACUCCACAAAAUAGCUCUUAAAUAGCUGACCUUAUAUUCAAUCUACAGGAGAAAUUUAACAUGAGCAUUUCUAAUUUGGAUGAUUUCUUUGGAGGCCCAGCAUUUCUUGCAUGGUCACGUAUGGGAAACUUGCAUGGGUGAGUGGUAAUUCACAGGCCUUCUGUAAGUUCCGUUUGAUAUUCAUAGUGUGUUUUUAGCUCAAGGCAGACGUAAAACUCAUAUAUUAAAGUAAUUUAUGUGGAAACUAGAAUAAUGAAUAUAUAAUUACUUUUCAGUUUCAUUAUGAAAUUGUCAAGCUUGAUGCUUUUAGUAAACACACUCUCUCUCUCUCUGAAUUGGCUAGAGUUUCAUUGUCAUCAUACCUGGAUAUAGCAGACAUAGUUUGAGAGAAUAAGUAAUUAUAUUUUAAAGGAUAUUUCAAUUGCAGAUGGGGUGGGCCACUGCCACAGAGCUGGUUUGAUCAACAAUUAAUCUUACAGAAGAAAAUUCUUGCGAGAAUGUACGAGCUUGGAAUGACUCCUGGUACUCAUUAGUCAUUACUAUCAUUGACUCUUCUACCAGACAGUGAUGAAUUAUUGUUAAAUUUUAUGCAAACUACAAAACAACCAAAGAGAAAAAAUAAAUAUUUUUCAUUUGGUUUCAGUUCACCUUCCACUCCUUUUCUGGAAGUAAUUUGAAUACUGAAUAAUUGCUUUUCAGUCCUGCCAGCUUUUUCUGGAAAUGUCCCUGCUGCCCUGAAAUCUAUAUUUCCAUCAGCAAAAAUAACACGCUUAGGAAAUUGGUAAGUACAGCAUUGUACACAUUGACUUGAACUUGGUGUAAUUAGUCUUACCAAACAACCACACUGGUUUAAAAGGGCGGUUUGUUAAGUGCUUAUUGAAUAAAUGUUUAUCAUUUAAGCCAUAUGCACAAGUUAUUUCCAUAAUAAAAUAUGAAACAUGCUUAAAUCAUUUUCAUGUAAGUUGUAAGCUAUAUAAAAAUUAUAUUCUAGGGAAGAAUUAUGAAAAUCAAUUAUUGAAGCUGGCUUGGAGACGUAAGUUGCAUGCUUAGCACACACUUAUACACUCUUCACCACACUACAAAAAUGUAGAGUCAUCUUACACAUUGAAGCCCUGGCACCUGUACAGUCUUCACCAGUUUAAAGCCAUAGACAUGUUUCCUGUGUCGGUAAUGGCUAAUAACAAAAAAUGUUUAGCUUUAACCCCUAUAACUGAGAUCAAUAAUGAGUGUGCUAAAAUCCUAGCAGUCACUGAUUUUAAUUUUCUAAAUAUUGAAUAUAUCUUGUGCCUGUACUAGUACAUAUAUACCAGUUUAUAACUGAGAUCAAUCAUGGAAGUGCUAAGUCCUACCAGCCACCGAUUUUCCUUUUCUGAAUAUUAUUGAUACCAUGUAUUUUUAUGGAUAAGCCUAAUUGAUGCAUAGGGAAGCACUUGUGUCCUAUUGAACUUCACCAACCUAUGUAGGCAAAACUGAUAGAAAACAGAGAGCCAGUCUGCAAAGAAUAAGCACACAGUCGCAUAAUGUGUGCAACUUAAUAUAGAAAAUAAACUCAGAAAUCUAACAAAAAUGCCAUAGGCCUGAAACCAUCUAGAAAACCAUCAAUAAUGACCUCAUAUCCUGUAAUUGUAUUCACUUUCCUGUUGCAUUUACAUCCAUGAACCUACCGCCUACACAUUUUAUUGACCGUUUUUUCUUAGGUUUUCUGUUAAGAAUGACCUCAAAUGGACCUGCACUUAUCUUCUUGAUGCAACUGAUCCCUUGUUCGUUGAGAUCGGGAGAGCAUUUGCUGAACAACAAUUGCAAGGUGAUAUACAUGCUUCUUUAUAACUUAAUUGGCAAUAAUGCACGACAUGGUAAAAAAUAAAAAUAAAAAAACAUUCUGAAAUAAAUAUCCACAUAUCAGUUAACAUUAUGUGUUAUUUGAUUACGUUUUCACCCAGAGUAUGGAAGAACCAGCCACAUAUACAACUGGUAUGUUCUUCUUUGCUCAUCAGUUAAUUAUAGAACUUUAAAUUUUAUUGCUCCAAUAUUUGUGAAAAUGACUUUCUUUUGGUUCAUGGAAUACUUUUCGAAUAUAUAUAUAUUUUUUUUAUGUAAUAUUGCAUACUUAUGGAGGUCCUUCCUAGCAUACAUUGGUAUUAUUUUGUCUAUGUAGGCUCCUCAGAUAAUAAAUGCAUAUUCGUUGGUAUUCCUUAAUUUAAUUUCAUGUUUGAAUCUCACCCUCAUAUAAUAAUUGUGAUGUGGCUGUCACAUCUUCCGUGUUAAGGAUUUUUCAUGUUCUUUCUGUUCAUCCGUCAGAAACAUACUUUAUAUAAGUAAACUCUUGUUGUUCAUUCUUAACUUUUUUAUGAAGCUAAUUUUAUGUCUCAAUAUUGUUUUUGUUAAACUAUAUAAUGGUGUACGUACUGGGCUCGGUAUAAUGUAACAAGAGGGUUUAAGUCCUGUUUUUACUUUAUUACUUUCAUUUGAUUUCUUAUGGAGUUGGGGUGUUAUUUAUUAUUAGUUACAACAGAUAAGCUAUUCCACUAAAUUAAGUUAUGCUUUUGAAUAGUAAGGAAAUGAUUAUCAUGAAAAAUAGAUAUUUUGUUAUGGAUCUCCAGCUCAUUUGAAUUAUGGUUUAUAUGUAUACACACCAUCACACUUUAUUAUAUUUCGUUUGUUCAUUAAAGAACUUGUCUUUCCAUGCAUUAACAUAUAGUAUGAUGGAUCAAUCACAGCGAUACCUUUGACGAGAACACCCCACCUAUUGAUGAUCCAGAGUACAUUUCUUCACUAGGUGCAGCAAUCUUUAAAGGAAUGCAGAGUGGUGAUAAUGAUGCUGUUUGGUUGAUGCAGGUAACAGAGAUUAGUCAGUUUUUUUUCUUUUUUCUUUCAAUUGAAUCUUGAUUUGAUGCUUCUAUGUUCUAGCUUCUGUAUAUAACUAUGCUAACAUUUUCAUGGAAGUAUAUUUUUGCAUCCUCUAAACUCUAAUAAUUCUUUGUUUAAUUAUGCAGGGCUGGCUAUUUUCAUAUGAUCCGUUCUGGAGACCUCCUCAAAUGAAGGUUUUUAUUUAUAAUUGUUUACCUCCUCCCAACUUCAUUCCUUGUUUUGACAGCAAAUCUUAAUAUAAGCAAAUCUUGUCUGAGAACUGGCUAUCAUUCUCGCUGUUUCGUUUACAAGGAUUUCUAUUUAAUAUUGAUUCUUGUGCCUUUUUCCUUUAAAAUGUGAUAGUUUCUAGGAAUCUCUAUUUUGCAUAGACUGUAACUAGCAAUCUUCAUCAGAACAGUUUUCCUUUUCUUUUUCCCUUCUUUCAGUGCCUGUUUAAGAUAAAGGGCUAGAAUAGUCUGUAUACGCAUUAGAAGAAAUGUAUUUUUUAUUCAAUAUAAAUGCUUUCUAGAAGUAGUUCACUGUUCACCCUGGUUAUUUAUUCUAACCAAAUUAUCAUUCAGAUGCAUAUGAAUUUUGUCUGUGAUUGUUUUCAGGCCCUUCUGCAUUCUGUUCCUGCGGGAAAGCUUGUGGUUCUUGACCUGUUUGCCGAAGUAAAACCCAUAUGGAUAACCUCAGAGCAAUUUUAUGGUGUUCCUUACAUCUGGAAAGUCAUUUUCUAUCAUAUAUUUAUAUUUUAAAAUAGGGUAAAUUACACUCCCUUUCAUAAGAGAAGUUUGGAUUAUACUCUCCUCUUCUCUUAUGUUAAAAUAUACACCUCCAUUCCUUGAGAAAUAAAUAAGUAUUACACUUAGGUUCAUCUUAAUGUAAACAAAUAUUUUGCUGAGAAGAUAAAAUGAAGCUUUAAAUACCCCUUUUAUUGGUUUUUGAUCUUCUGUUGAUAAUAGGUAUUUAAAGCUAUAUGUUAGUGACAUCGAGAAUUAAAAAUAGAGAAAUCAGGGGAAUGGUAUAUUAUCAAGGAUGGAAAUGGUAGAUUUUAACAUGAGAGGGGAGGCAUAGUUCAAGCUUUUUAGAGAGGAGGAAAGUGUGAUUUUCUCAAAAACAAUAAUGGCCAUACCCAUAUAAAUUUGUUUCAUCCAAAACAAGAUAUAUAUCCACUUAAAUGUGAAGAUUUAUAUCAUUCGAUGAGAUAAAUCAGGGGAGUAAAUUGAAUUAAUUCAUUUUUUAUUUAUUUAUGUAUAUGCAUUUUAUCAUUGAUUUUUUUAUGAAAAGUUAUAGCUUCUCACGUUUUUCUCUAUAGCCAAUGUUUGCACAAUUUUGGCUAUCAUUACACUUGCCUCCACUAUACUUAAUAUACAGGGGGCAUCUUCACUCUUACUUAAGCAAACAUGCAUACUUGGUAUAAAUAUGUGAAUACGUUUUCUAGUGCCUCCUAUAGUUUGACAUACACCAAAGUUUAAUUGGAAGUUAUCAGCUCGCACCCACAUUCAGCAGCUUAAACCAGUGAUUUUAGAGAUAUCUGCUAUGUAUAACUUAGAAAUGUUGUCAUAUGGAAAUAUAGUAACUAGCACAUAGAUUUAGAACUUUGAAGUUCGUUAUAUUAUACAUCUAGAUUAUCCAAAUCUUUGUUGUAUGCAUUCUUUUUCCUUUUGUUGUAUUUUUUAAUGUUCUUUUAAUUGACUGGGUGUGUUGUGCUUGACAGGUGUAUGCUGCACAAUUUUGCAGGAAACGUUGAGAUGUAUGGGAUAUUAGAUGCAGUAGCAUCUGGGCCAAUUGAAGCACGUACAAGUGUUAACUCAACAAUGGCAAGUUAUUCUUUUUUGUGGGACUCAAUUCUGUAUCUAAUGUGUCACUGUUGAAUUGCAGUAAUUAAGUAAUGAAAAACAAAAAGAGAUUAUAGGCUCACAAAGAGUAUCAAAUUGAUAUGCUCUAUUAAGAUUAUCAUUGUCAGGUGUGUUCAAAACUGAACCGAACUUACUAAGAUUGUAAGAUAUGAUAAAUGCUAAACACAUAUUUUUAUUAUUUUGAAAGAAAAUGCUUAAAACAUAUUAUUAUUAUUAUGAUUUACGCACGUAAUUUUGGUAAUAAUUUUUCUAUAACUUGUUUUUUUCUUAUGAAUUAUUUUUCUGACAAAUUCUAUAACUUCUUAAAAUCGUAGAAAUCAUAAUUCUUAUACCUGCUUGAUUUUCUGAAGGUUGGAGUUGGAAUGUCGAUGGAAGGUAUCGAACAGAAUCCUGUUGUAUAUGAUCUGAUGUCUGAAAUGUCAUUUCAGCACAAUAAAAUUGAUGCUAAGGUAACAAUGAAAUAAUAUAAGAUAUGUUGUACUAUUUCAAUCAAGGUCUUACUCUUACCAUGUUCUCAUGUUAGGGGGAUCUCCCGUGGGCCGUGACCUAUGGAACCCCUCACAUUGUAGGAGCCCAGUAUUUUUAAUAUAGAGAUGUGCUCAUAUUGUUUGCCACAUUUGGUUGAGGAGAAAUUUUCUACCACAAAUUUAGUUAUUCACCUCUACUUAGUAAUUUUGUACAUCGAAUAUAAUCCUGACACUAUUUUUCCUCUCUUCCCUCGUCUGCAACCCCCUUUCUAUAGAACAACCAGAAUAUUGAACCUCAGUUUGCUGAUAAUUAUGAUCAGAAUAUAUGAAGUUAUAUAGCUGCCUCUAACCUUGAAUAAAAUAAGCAUUACCAGGCGAACAAUGUUACGUAUUCCUUGUGGCAUUUUUAUUUUAUUUGUGGCAAUGUUAUUCUGAUUCGGCAUAGAUGCCUUGUGACCAUGAAGCUGUGAAGCACCGACACACACAAGGACAUCCGUACAUGACACUGACACAUAGACACUAGUAAUAAUUUGAGAAAAUGAAAGUGAUUAAAUGCAACCACUUGUGGCAGUGUCGGACACACUUUCAACUAAAAGUGUUAGAUAGCCUGUACGUCAAGGGUUCAUAUUUUGUAAAAGGUCUCUCCAUUUGCGGUGGUAAGGCUGUGUGUAUCUUCCAUCUCCAGACCCCACUUGUUGGGAGCCUUGUGCAUUGGGAACCCUUUAAUGAUAUUAUGCAUAUCUAUUAAGUCAUUUGGUUUUAACAAUAAAGCUAUUAAAUGUCUGAAGUCGAAAGCACUUCCCUUGUUCCAUGCUUUGCUUUAUUUAGUUUCUAUUUUCACUAACUUGGUAUUGUUUUCAGACUGAAAUGCAUUACGGUUGUUCCUAUUUCAGGCAUGGGUUGAUUUGUAUUCAACCAGACGAUAUGGAAGACAAGUUCCUUUGAUACAAGAGGGAUGGAAUGUUUUGUAUCAUACCAUAUACAAUUGCACUGAUGGAGCCUAUGUAAGUAGUUGGUUGUUACAAAUAACCCGCUGCUAGCAAUUUCUUCCAGUCGAACAACAUAAGACUAUUUGUUUUAAUUAUCUGUUCAACUUUUACCAUUGUUCAUUUACUGUCUCGCCUUCAUUGCUAAACUUCCAUUUUUCCUUUUAUGGUGUGUUGUAUUUAUGUCAAACAAAAUAAAUGAUUUAUGUAUUACUUUUUCUCCUCAAUUUUCUGUUCUCCUUUUAUCUCACAAACGACUUCUGUAAACUAAUAACAUCCUCAGCUGCAUAUAUUAUGUUGAAUUUCAACUUUGCAUGCAUAAAUAAGAAGAUCAUUUUCAGUUUUACCAAAUAUUUUUUGGUGUAUGGGAACAGGACAAAAACAGAGAUGUCAUUGUAGCAUUCCCAGAUGUAGACCCUUCCUUACUUUCAGUUCAGCAUGAACACUCUCGCCCCUAUGGCAAGCCAUUCUCGAGAGCAGUUAGCAAGGAAAUAACUGAUUCAUUUGAUCGACCUCACUUAUGGUAUUCAACAUCUGAAGUAAUUUAUGCAUUGGAGCUAUUUAUAUCUAGUGGAAACGAACUUCCAAAAAGUAGUACAUAUAGGUAAGAGAAGUUGAUUACUUAAGAAUUACCAGUCCUCAUUAAGUACCUCAAUGUUGUCUUAUUGUAUGUUAAGGUUCAAUAUCCAGAUUCUUACUUCUUCAAAAAAAAAAUCCAGAUUCUUACUAUUUUUUUUUUUUUAUAAGAAGAUUCAUGCUAUUUAUUCUUUAUUAGGUAUGAUCUUGUUGAUCUCACCAGACAAGUGUUAGCAAAAUAUGCAAAUCAGCUGUUCUUUAAGGUCAUUGAGGCAUACCAAUCAAGAGAUAUCCAUGAAGUGACCCUACUCAGCCAAAGAUUUCUUGACCUGGUGGAAGAUUUAGACACGUUGUUGGCUUGCCAUGAUGGAUUUCUUCUAGGCCCCUGGUUAGAUAGUGCAAUACAACUAGCUCAAAAUGAAGAACAGAAGAGACAGGUUUGAUUGCCUUCUAUAAGCAUAAAAUUGAAAAUCAAUCCGAUCCUAUACAUACUUAUGUUGAUUUACAGUUCUUAACAUUUUCAGUUUGAGUGGAAUGCUAGAACACAAAUCACCAUGUGGUUUGACAACACAGAGGAAGAAGCCAGUCUGCUUCGUGACUAUGGUAUGAACAGCAAUUAACAGAGAAAAAGAAAAUAAAAGUAGUGCGAUGUUUGGACAUAUUAAAUGAUUGUUUUACUAUUUUCCACAGGGAACAAGUACUGGAGUGGGCUUCUGAGUGAUUAUUAUGGCCCAAGAGCUGCUAUUUAUUUUAAAUAUUUGAGAGAAAGCUUAGAGGCAGGCGAGGAUUUCAAGCUAAAGGAAUGGAGGAAGGAGUGGAUAAAACUUACCAAUGAUUGGCAAAGCCGUAGAAAUAUAUUUCCAGUUGUAAGCAGAGGAGAUGCUUUAAACACUUCAAGGUGGCUCUUCAACAAAUACCUGAACCUGAGCAAUCCUGAGACACCGGGAGCUGUUUCAAUGAACAUUAGUCUUAAGGGGGUGUAUUUGAAUCAUGAUUCUAAGGGAUUUUAAAAGACUUUUUUAUUAUGAAAAAGUCUUGUGGUAUUCAAUCAAGACUCUUUCCAAUUUAAAAAAAGUCUUGUGUUAUUCAAUCAAGAUUCCUUGUCAUUUUAAAAAAGUCUUGUGGUAUUCAAUCAAGACUCUUAAUCACUUAAAAAAAGUCUAGUGGUAUUCAAAAAAAUUCAAAUUUCGAAGGAUUGUUUAAUAAAUCAGAUUUUGAUGGAUUUUGUGGGAUUUUCUAGUGAAAUUUUAGCAUGAAAAAGUUUUCAUGAAAACAUGAGAUUUUUAGGAUUGUUUUUUUCUUUUAAGAUUUUACUAUCUCUUCCUCUCUCUCCUCGCUUCUCUCUCACUCUCUCUUUUCCUCUCCUCUCUCUCUCUUCUUCCUUCUCUCUCUCUCUCUCUCCUCCCUUCACUCUUUNNNNNNNNNNNNNNNNNNNNNNNNNNNNNNNNNNNNNNNNNNNNNNNNNNNNNNNNNNNNNNNNNNNNNNNNNNNNNNNNNNNNNNNNNNNNNNNUUUUUUUCAAUUAUUUCUUAAAAUUCAUAAAAUCUAUUGAAAUCUCUUGAAAUCCAUAAAAUCAUUUCAAAUCCUUUAAAAUCUUAUAAAUUAAAUCCAUUGAAAUCCUUAAUAAUAUUUUAAAAUCAUCAAAUUAAUCAAAAUCCAUCAAAGUCUUUUAAAAUCAUUAAGACUUUUUUAAACAAAAAUUGUCCUUUAAAAUCCUAAUCCAAUACACCCUCCUAAAUGUAUAUGAAACCAAAACCUUGUUAAUGUGGGAAUGGAACUCGUGGUUUUCUGGUGGUGCAAAAUAUGUACAACAGACAUUUGGAGACAGUUUUUUCUGAUUGAUGGGAGAAUAACUGGAUAAGGAUCAUUGUCCAAAAAAUAACACUGAAUAUGGAUCCCAUUGUUUAAUAUUAAUUGACCAUCAGGCAAGGUGUCUUUGAUGAAUGAAUUGGAAUAUUAUUUUUAUAAAAAAAAAUCUAAACAAAACAUUCCGACCAUGAAAAUAGAAGAAGAAAUAAACCAAAGUAGAUCGAAGCUGACAAGCUAGGUUUCUUGUGUGAACAAACCAGUUUGAGGAGGAAUCACACUAAAUCAUACGCGCAAGAACUUUGUACCUUUGAAUUUCUUUUGUAGAAUUAUUCGUUGGAAAAAUGGCGGUCCUAUUGACUUUUUCUUUUCUCGUUAAUAUUUUUUUUUGUCAAUCUUUCUUCAUUAAUCUAAUAAGGGAAAUGUUGACGAGUAGGCCGGGCACUCUUUAACACCUUUAAAUAAUAAUUUUGUAUGAAAAUAUAUGUAAUUAAUACUUUGGAAAUUGAAAUAUUAGCUUUUUUUUAUAAUAUAAUUUUUUUUUUAAAUCCUUAAGAGUAUCUGGACAUCGUUAACGAGAUCCAUUUAAUAAAUAUAAAGUGGAAAAAUGGAGUUUUUUUAGAGGUUUUAAUUCACUCCUAAUUUAUUGUAGCCACGAAUACACCAUUAUCCAAUAAAGAUACUUUAAUAAAGUGUAUUUUUUUUUACUUGACCAAAGAAGGAGUAUUUUUUUUUUCUCCUUCAUUAUACAUAUGUUUUAACGUGUGCGAAAGGGAUAAAAGAGUGAUUGAUUGUGAAAUUGAAGGAGUAUCUCUAUAAUUGACGGUGACGAAACCACCCAGAUUGGUCCUAGAGCUUUCAAAGAAUAAGUGCAUAGCCGCCAAAGCAUAAAAAAUGAGGCCAACAAUUCUAGACUUCGAAAUUUGAAUCAUAACGUAAGCGCAAGCGUGUGUUUUUUAUGGGAAUUAUUUUUCAUGAUCUUAAUCAAAAUACACGUUUUCCAGAAGCUUCCCCAAUGAGAAAACGAGUUAUCUUGUUGUGGAUGUCUCCUUAAAGUGUCAAAGUCCACGUCAUAACAUUAACUUAACACAUGUUAUUAAGAUUUUGGUGGAUUGCUUAAUCUACUUUGCCAACUACUUUUGAACAAGUCCUUCUAGUCCUAUAAAAAUGCAUUGAACUCGUUCUCAAUUCUUCAUCUCCAAAUAUCAACUCAAUUCUUUCUCACAUAUUUUUUCAGCUCUCUCCCCCUUUGAAGAAAUGGAUUCUCAUGGCACAUCCUGGGCUGACCAAUGGGACGAUGGUCCUGACCCUUUGAAUGGUUCCAACCAAUCCAAAAAGAAGAGCAACAAAGACAAAGUCCUAGACAAGACCAAGACAGUUGCAUCUUCUGGCGUCAAGAAGUUGAAGGAGGGUACCUCCGUUAGCCUCCAAUGGAUCAAGACCAAGUAUAACAAAACCACCCAAAAACAUUAAAAGUUACUUUUAGUUUCUAUUCUAUUUAUUGUACAUGUUAAUAUUUAGUCCUUUGUUUUGUUUUUUUAACUGGUUGAUUACUACUAUCACCUACCAGUAUGUCUUUAAUUUGAUCUUUCAAUUCAUUUAUUCUUAAUGUGUGAGGUGAGUUUUGAUGGACAUAGCUCUUUACUCUGUACAGGAGAUAUGGUUGUAUUGUAUCUUCCGUUCGAGUAUUUCUUUUUUUUUUUACUUGAUGGUUUAGGAUUGUUGUACUGUAUACUUAUGUAAUAAAGAUUGAUUUUUCAAUUUUAUAGUUUUAUCUGGUGGCCAUCUAGAAGUUUCAAAAUCAACAAUUAAUUGCAACGUUGGUUCUCAAAAUUAACAAUUUUAACAAGAAUUACAACGUCAUGAUUAAUCACCUUUUGUAAAAAAAAAAAAAAACGCCCGGUUGUAGAAGGUCUAUAUCCAACUGUCCAUAUAGCCGGUUGUAGAAAUCCUCUUUUCUAUAGAAUUUUAUGUCAUACCAAAAAUUAUAUGUCAUAACAAAAAUUUCACUUACUUGAAUAAAAUUUUAUGGGGAUAAUUAUGUGAUGGCUAGACGGCGAAAAUGCACAUAGGAGAGGAGAUGGUUGCAAUACGACGAACAGCGAUGGAUGUUGGUGGUGUAGGCAGACAGGUUGGAGAGGGAGAGUAUGAAGGGAAAUAAGAAGUUUGGGUUUGGAGGGAGAAUGGGGAAGUACAUUUGGUUACUACUUUUCCAUUCUCCUUGCGGGCGGACAGAGAGAAUGAAAAAUGACACUUUGUAACUUUAAAUUUUUAUUAUCCAUGUUUGACUGUGUUUUUUUUUAAAGGGUUGGUUUUCAGUUUUUAAAUACUAUUUUAUAAAUCAAUUUUACAUAGCUAAAUUUAAAAAUAAAUUUUUUAAAAAUGUGUCUGAUAAACUAAUCUUAAAGAUAGUUUUAGAAAUGAGCAAAUAAAAACUUGUUUGAUAAUUUAAUCUUCAAAAUAUGCUAUGAACACUAAAAAAAGCAUACACUUUGACUUCAAAAUUUAAUUAAUAAAUUUAAUUUAAAAAAUGUAUUUAAGCGAAUUUAAAUAUAUGGUGCAUCAAUUUUGUAUCCUAUAUUGGUAUACAAAAUUCAAUUAUUUAAGGAAAAAUAUGGAAGAAAAAAGUUUGUAUCUCUUUUAUGUAUAAGUAAAUAUAGAUUUUUUUUUGUGUGAAAGGGUAUAAGUAAACAUAGAUAGAUACAUUCAGUGUAUUAUUAUUAUUAUUAUUAUUAUUAUUAUUAUUAGAGUAAUGAUAAGUGGAAAUCUUGUAUAUGAGAACAUUACCCACUAUUGGUGGUUGUUGAUUGUUGUUCACGUAAAUGUAGUUCUGACAACUCCACAAUAGUUGGCGGCGUAACACUGAUGAUCCGUAAACAUCAGUAGUUGGACUCUGUCCAUGACGGUUGGCAAUAAGCUUUGAUAGCCCCUCACUAUGGUCGACCGCUUUAUACUGCUAUUGGUGUUAUUUAUUUAUAAAUAAAUAUUUUAAUAAAAAUUUUAAAAAAAUUGUUCAUUUAUUUAAUUUAAUUUUUUUUUUAAAUAUGGUGUCCCUAUAUAUGGGGUUGUCAACCAAAAACUACUAUCCUCUAGAAAAAAACCAAAAACACCCUUAUCAUCACCAUUGACUUUGAAAUUAAAACAGUAAGGAUGCGUUUGAUUUAUUAAAAUAUAGAGGACAGGACAGAACAAUAAAAGUUGUGCGGUGUUUGAUCCAAAAGAUAACAAUGGAACAGAACAAAAACAGUAGCGGAGCACUGGACAAGUCUCCCGAAAUUUGUAACCCGCUUAAUUGGAGGACAAGUUUUUGUCCGCUGGACAGGAGAGCAAAAGACAACGUAACCCCUAUGAUUUUCACUUUCUGUAAGCAGCAGAAUAUUUUAAUUUUUAUUUUAGCUUUGCUUUGACAUUGCUUUUCCAAUUUUGUUUAUCACAUUUUUCAUUUAAAUUUUUUUAAUUGCCACUUUGUUGGUU
RNAcentral lists this long non-coding RNA (23478 nucleotides) under Medicago truncatula (barrel medic). Its description in RNAcentral is "long non-coding RNA (MTRU_LNC000934)". The record is from RNAcentral. Lineage: Eukaryota; Viridiplantae; Streptophyta; Magnoliopsida; Fabales; Fabaceae.